GACGAACGCUGGCGGCGUGCCUAAUACAUGCAAGUAGAACGCUGAAGAGAGGAGCUUACUCUUCUUGGAUGAGUUGCGAACGGGUGAGUAACGCGUAGGUAACCUGCCUUGUAGCGGGGGAUAACUAUUGGAAACGAUAGCUAAUACCGCAUAACAAUGGAUGACACAUGUCAUUUAUUUGAAAGGGGCAAUUGCUCCACUACAAGAUGGACCUGCGUUGUAUUAGCUAGUAGGUGAGGUAAUGGCUCACCUAGGCGACGAUACAUAGCCGACCUGAGAGGGUGAUCGGCCACACUGGGACUGAGACACGGCCCAGACUCCUACGGGAGGCAGCAGUAGGGAAUCUUCGGCAAUAGGGGCAACCCUGACCGAGCAACGCCGCGUGAGUGAAGAAGGUUUUCGGAUCGUAAAGCUCUGUUGUAAGUCAAGAACGGGUGUGAGAGUGGAAAGUUCGCACUGUGACGGUAGCUUACCAGAAAGGGACGGCUAACUACGUG
RNAcentral lists this ribosomal RNA (497 nucleotides) under uncultured bacterium. RNAcentral's name for it is "partial 16S ribosomal RNA". It matches the Rfam family "Bacterial small subunit ribosomal RNA", at positions 28 to 507 of the family's 1533-position model. The record is from RNAcentral.